Molecule: ribosomal RNA, 253 nt
Filed under: uncultured bacterium
Lineage: Bacteria
Description: partial 16S ribosomal RNA
Rfam family: Bacterial small subunit ribosomal RNA
Source: RNAcentral
UACGUAGGGUGCAAGCGUUAAUCGGAAUUACUGGGCGUAAAGCGUGCGCAGGCGGUUGUGCAAGACCGAUGUGAAAUCCCCGGGCUUAACCUGGGAAUGGCAUUGGUGACUGUACGGCUAGAGUGCGUCAGAGGGGGGUAGAAUUCCACGUGUAGCAGUGAAAUGCGUAGAGAUGUGGAGGAACACCGAUGGCGAAGGCAGCCCCCUGGGUCAAGAUUGACGCUCAUGCACGAAAGCGUGGGGAGCAAACAGG